RNAcentral lists this ribosomal RNA (375 nucleotides) under uncultured organism. RNAcentral describes it as "partial 16S ribosomal RNA". It matches the Rfam family "Bacterial small subunit ribosomal RNA", at positions 527 to 896 of the family's 1533-position model. The record is from RNAcentral.
GUAGGUGGCAAGCGUUGUCCGGAAUUAUUGGGCGUAAAGCGCGCGCAGGUGGGUUCUUUAAAGUCUGAUGUGAAAGCCCCCGGGCUCAACCGGGGAGGGUCAUUGGAAACUGGGGGAACUUGAGUGCAGGAGAGGAAAGUGGAAUUCCACGUGUAGCGGUGAAAUGCGUAGAUAUGUGGAGGAACACCAGUGGCGAAGGCGACUUUCUGGCCUGUAACUGACACUGAGGCGCGAAAGCGUGGGGAGCAAACAGGAUUAGAUACCCUGGUAGUCCACGCCGUAAACGAUGAGUGCUAAGUGUUGGGGGGUUUCCGCCCCUCAGUGCUGCAGCUAACGCAUUAAGCACUCCGCCUGGGGAGUACGGUCGCAAGACUG